RNAcentral lists this ribosomal RNA (1280 nucleotides) under metagenome. RNAcentral describes it as "bacterial LSU rRNA". It matches the Rfam family "Bacterial large subunit ribosomal RNA", at positions 1604 to 2912 of the family's 2925-position model. The record is from RNAcentral.
AGUUCCAGGAAAUAGCCCCACCGUAUAGACCGUACCCGAAACCGACACAGGUGGUCUGGUAGAGUAUACCAAGGCGCUUGAGAGAAGUGUGCUGAAGGAACUCGGCAAAUUGCCUCCGUACCUUCGGAAGAAGGAGGCCCCAUGUUAAGGCAACUUUUCAUGGGGGGCACAGGCCAGGGGGUAGCGACUGUUUAGCAAAAACACAGGGCUCUGCUAAGUCGGCUUCAAGACGACGUAUAGGGUCUGACGCCUGCCCGGUGCCUGAAUGUUAAGUGGAGGGGUGCAAGCUCCGAAAUGAAGCCCAGGUAAACGGCGGCCGUAACUAUAACGGUCCUAAGGUAGCGAAAUUCCUUGUCGGGUAAGUUCCGACCUGCACGAAUGGCGUAACGACUUCCCCACUGUCUCCAGCACAUGCUCAGCGAAAUUGAAUUCUCCGUGAAGAUGCGGAGUACCCGCGGUUAGACGGAAAGACCCCGUGCACCUUUACUGCAGCUUCAGAGUGGCAUUAGGAAAGAACUGUGUAGCAUAGGUGGGAGGCUUUGAAUCCGGGACGCCAGUUCCGGGGGAGCCAUAGGUGAAAUACCACCCUGUUGUUUUCUGAUGUCUAACCUCGAUCCAUGAAACUGGAUCAGGGACCCUCUGUGGCGGGUAGUUUGACUGGGGCGGUCGCCUCCUAAAGAGUAACGGAGGCGCGCGAAGGUUGGCUCAGGCCGGUUGGAAACCGGCUGUUAGAGUGCAAUGGCAUAAGCCAGCCUGACUGCGAGACUGACAAGUCGAGCAGAGACGAAAGUCGGUCAUAGUGAUCCGGUGGUCCCUCGUGGAAGGGCCAUCGCUCAACGGAUAAAAGGUACGCCGGGGAUAACAGGCUGAUAACCCCCAAGAGCUCAUAUCGACGGGGUUGUUUGGCACCUCGAUGUCGGCUCAUCACAUCCUGGGGCUGGAGCAGGUCCCAAGGGUUUGGCUGUUCGCCAAUUAAAGUGGUACUUGAGCUGGGUUCAGAACGUCGCGAGACAGUUUGGUCCCUAUCUGCCGUGGGCGUCGAAAUUUGAGAGGAGUUGACCCUAGUACGAGAGGACCGGGUUGAACAUGCCUCUGGUGGACCUGUCAUCGUGCCAACGGUGCAGCAGGGUAGCUAUGCAUGGACGGGAUAACCGCUGAAAGCAUCUAAGCGGGAAGCCUCCCUCGAGAUAAGAUUUCUUAGAGCGGUCGAAGACCACGACCUUGAUAGGCCGGAUGUGGAAGUGCGGUAACGCAUGGAGCUAACCGGUCCUAAUUGCUCC